UUUUACAUUGUAAUACACUACCCCUACAUGCCAUUGUGUGCUGGAGCUAUGGGUUUAUUUUUCCACUGUCACUAUGCCUACACAUUCACACUCGAACUGAAUUGAAUGGGAGAUGCAUAACUACUUUUCACUGAAGAAGGGAACGAGUCAACAAGUGAUGAGCCAGAGCAACCAAUCAGCAUCACUGUAGCUGUUCUACCCACCACCCACACUGCUCUCUCUCCACAAGCAACCACAUCCUCUUCUCCUGUUCAACUAAUUUGCUGCCACACUGAAAAGGACUGUACAUACAUACCUCUGUGCCCAUCUCAUUGCAACAUGAUCCAUCCAAGGCCAAAGCUGGACGCCUAAAAUGACCUAGGGGUUCUGCCUAACACCCAAACAUGGAUCCACCCGAUGUCCUCCAUUACCGUCCACCAUCCAACUUUUCAUUACAUCAGCUACUGUUAUUGUCAUGUUGUCAUUAUCUGCUAAGAAAGAUCAAGAAAACUAUCAUACUGGGCACAUAAUGUGAGAUUCACAGAUUAGCUAAAAACAUUAGCACUGCAAACACUCAGAACACAGAGAGCAGCAGCGCCUGGACUUUGCAGUCUCCCUCUUCGAGUCCCUCUUCAGAGACUGACUGCUUGUUGAAAACAAGUGACUGGCAGAACCUCCCAUCCACACAGCACCCACCUCCUCUCUAUUCCACACACCAGAAUUCAGUAUUUCAGUCUAUGAUUGCCAUGUGAGUGUACAAAAAAAUCUGUGAAAGUAAAUUGACACACGUACCAAAAAAAUA
Molecule: long non-coding RNA, 781 nt
Organism: Coregonus clupeaformis (lake whitefish)
Lineage: Eukaryota; Metazoa; Chordata; Actinopteri; Salmoniformes; Salmonidae
Exons: 3
Source: RefSeq, a predicted model, not a curated record